RNAcentral lists this ribosomal RNA (292 nucleotides) under uncultured bacterium. Its description in RNAcentral is "partial 16S ribosomal RNA". The record is from RNAcentral.
GGACUACACGGGUAUCUAAUCCUGUUCGCUCCCCUAGCUUUCGCACCUGAGCGUCAGUUACCAGCCAGGACACUGCCUUCGCCUUUGGUAUUCCUCCGGAUAUCUACGCAUUUCACCACUCCACCCGGAAUUCUAUGUCCCUCUCUGGUCCUCAAGUCUCGCAGUCUUCAGAGGCCUUGCCCAGUUGAGCCGGGCACUGUCACUCCAAACUUACCAGACCGCCUGCGUGCGCUUUACGCCCAGUAACUCCGGACAACGCUCGCCCCCUACGUAUUACCGCGGCUGCUGGCAC